Molecule: ribosomal RNA, 450 nt
Filed under: uncultured bacterium
Lineage: Bacteria
Description: partial 16S ribosomal RNA
Rfam family: Bacterial small subunit ribosomal RNA
Source: RNAcentral
GUGGGGAAUAUUGCACAAUGGGCGCAAGCCUGAUGCAGCCAUGCCGCGUGUGUGAAGAAGGCCUUCGGGUUGUAAAGCACUUUCAGCGGGGAGGAAGGCGAUAAGGUUAAUAACCUUGUCGAUUGACGUUACCCGCAGAAGAAGCACCGGCUAACUCCGUGCCAGCAACCGCGGUAAUACGGAGGGUGCAAGCGUUAAUCGGAAUUACUGGGCGUAAAGCGCACGCAGGCGGUCUGUCAAGUCGGAUGUGAAAUCCCCGGGCUCAACCUGGGAACUGCAUUCGAAACUGGCAGGCUAGAGUCUUGUAGAGGGGGGUAGAAUUCCAGGUGUAGCGGUGAAAUGCGUAGAGAUCUGGAGGAAUACCGGUGGCGAAGGCGGCCCCCUGGACAAAGACUGACGCUCAGGUGCGAAAGCGUGGGGAGCAAACAGGAUUAGAAACCCUGGUAGUCC